This 119-nucleotide ribosomal RNA is filed under the name Pteropus alecto (black flying fox). The record is from RNAcentral. Lineage: Eukaryota; Metazoa; Chordata; Mammalia; Chiroptera; Pteropodidae.
GACUAUGGCCAUGUCACCCUGAAUGCGCCCAAUCUUGUCUGAUCUCAGAAGCUAAGCAGGGUCGGGCCUGGUUAGUACUUGAAUGAGAGACCACCUGAGAAUACCAGGUGCUGUAGGCA